RNAcentral lists this ribosomal RNA (302 nucleotides) under uncultured bacterium. RNAcentral describes it as "partial 16S ribosomal RNA". It matches the Rfam family "Bacterial small subunit ribosomal RNA", at positions 508 to 807 of the family's 1533-position model. The record is from RNAcentral.
GCAGUAGCCGCGGUAAUACGGAGGGUGCAAGCGUUAAUCGGAAUUACUGGGCGUGAAGCGCACGCAGGCGGUUUGUUAAGUCAGAUGUGAAAUCCCCGAGCUUAACUUGGGAACUGCAUUUGAAACUGGCAAGCCAGAGUCUUGUAGAGGGGGGUAGAAUUCCAGGUGUAGCGGUGAAAUGCGUAGAGAUCUGGAGGAAUACCGGUGGCGAAGGCGGCCCCCUGGACAAAGACUGACGCUCAGGUGCGAAAGCGUGGGGAGCAAACAGGAUUAGAUACCCCUGUAGUCCCUGUCUCUUAUAC